GGAUGGAGAGGCGUAACCAGGUGAAGGAUCAAGAAGGUGUACUGAUGUCAGAGUGCAGCCUGGCCCCUGUUCCUUUCAAAUGAAGCUUUUCUCAUUUACUUUGUGAGGAAUGCUACGCUUACAAGGAGGAAGUACAAUAUAGUGAAUAAGAACACAGGUUCUGGUGUAGACAGGUUGGGUGUGAAUCCUACUGGCUUAAACGGUGAACUAAUGGUUUAUUGAGUGACUACUACCUUCCAGGCACUAUCCUUGGCACUAAGGAUACAUCAGUAAACAAAAACCUCCUUCAUGACACUUACUAGGUGGGGGGAGGGGACAGUCAAUAAUAAUAAUGAUGAUAAUAAGUCAUAACAUGUUAGCAAUAGUGAAUGGUAUAGAACGAACAAGAGUAGGUUAAGGGGGUCUGGGCGUAGUGGCUCACGCCUGUAAUCCGAGCGCUUUGGGAGGCAGAGGCGGGCGGAUCACCUGAGGUCAGGAGUUCGAGACCAGCCUGGCCAACAUGGUGAAACCCCAUCUCUACUAAAAGUACAAAAAUUAGCCAGGCAUGGUGGCACACACCUGUAAUUCUAGCUACUCGGGAGGCUGAGACAGAAGAAUCACUUGAACCCGGGAGGUGUUGCAGUGAGCUGCGAUUGCACCACUGCACUCCAGCCUGGGCGACAAGAACAAAACUCUUGUCUCAAAAAAAGAAAAAAAAAAAAAAGAGUAGGUUAAGGGAGUUUCAGGGAUGAUCAGGGUGGGCCUCUUUGAGAAUGUGAUAUUUGAGUGAAGAUUUUUUUUUUUUUUUUGAGACAGGGUCUUGCUCUGCUACUCAGGGUGGAGUGCAGUAACGCGAUCAAAGCUCACUGCAGCCUUGACCUCCCAGGCUCAAGUGAUCCUCCCACUUCAGCUUCCCAGUUGCUGAGACUAUAUGUGUACCACCCAGGCCUACUUUUUUUUUUUUUUUUUUGAGACGGCGUCUCCCUAUGUUGUCAAGCCUGGACUUGAACUACUGGGCUCAAGUGAUCCUCCCACCUCCAGGCGUGAGCCACCAGGCCCAGCUUUGAGCCAAGAUUUAAAGGAGGCAAGGGAAAGAGGGAUGCAGGGGCAAUGACAUGCCAGGUUUAUCUGAAGGCCUGUAAGGAGGCCAGUGAAGUUAGAAUGGGUGAGGAGGGGAAGUAGAAGAUGACCAGAGGUAAUGGAGGACCAGAUCACAGAGAACACUGCAGAGGCUGAGAACACUAAGCCUGAGCUGUCCAAUAUGGUGACCACUGACCACAUGUGGCUAUUUAAGUUAAAUAAAUGCACAAAUUCAGUCCCUCAGUUCCACUAACCACAUUUUAGGUAUUCAAUAGCCACAUGUGACUAGUGUUUACUUACUGGACAGUGCAGAUCUAGAACAUUUCCAUCACUGCAGAAAGUUCUAUUGGACGCACUGUUUAAACUAUAGUUUCCUAUUCUGUAAAAAAAAGCAUAAUAACACUGCCUGCCUCAUAACAUUUCCAGGAUUAAAAGAGACGAUACAUGACACAUGCGUAGCACAGGGUCUGGGACAUAAUACAUGCCCAAUAAAGGCUAACUCAUUUCUUCUAGGGUUUAUAAUUUGAAAGUUUUAUAGUUGUUCUCAUAGUACCCUGGUAUUGAAACUAUUCACGUGUCCUUCUCCCCAGUUAGACUACAGUUGCCUCAGUAACCAGGACAGUUUCUUAUGUAUCUUUAUAACUCCAGCACCUAGCAAAGGACCUGGUCCUGAGAUGUGACAUGAACAUCUGUUGAGAUGAGCUGUUCUGUUUAGUUAGCUUUGUUGGUUGACACACAGUGCUAUUGAGGACAAAGUUCCUAACCCCAAUCUGGGCUGCCUGGCUUGUUAUUGCAAUGACUCUGCCACCCUGGCAUACUGCACUCCCAGUCUACUGCUGUCUUCUCAGAUGCGCAUGCUCACUGACUCAGGAGUACAGCUGGCAGG
RNAcentral lists this long non-coding RNA (1945 nucleotides) under Homo sapiens (human). RNAcentral describes it as "non-protein coding lnc-XRCC6-2:1". Lineage: Eukaryota; Metazoa; Chordata; Mammalia; Primates; Hominidae. The record is from RNAcentral.